Phascolarctos cinereus (koala) is the source of this 1505-nucleotide non-coding RNA. The record is from RefSeq and is a predicted model, not a curated record. NCBI's taxonomy places the organism in Eukaryota, Metazoa, Chordata, Mammalia, Diprotodontia, Phascolarctidae.
GGUACCUGAAGCAAGAAGCCUUGAAGACAGCUUGGGAUUCUAAAAGGCAGAAAAGUGAGGAAGGAGAAAGUCUCAGACAAGGGAGAAGGUGGCCAAGGGCUCUGAUGGGGGAAUGAAGCAGGGCAGUCUGGGAGGAGAUACGGAGCACAGAGGGGCACAACGUGGAACAAGCUGGGAGUUCGAGGAGGACUUUCGACCCUUGUGUGUGCCAUGGAUCCCUUCUGGCAGGCUGCACACAGGUCAACUGAUCCAAAGAGUGGUGAAAACACAGCAGUUUUGUCUUCGUGUGAGAUAAAAAGUGUCUUACUAGUCUUCAAGGACCAGGACAACAGGACAGGAGGGAGGAAAAAAAAACCCUGAAAUUUAAUUGAUAACUGAUUAUCAACCCAAGGUGAAAAAAGACUGUGACAGAAACUUCAAAAUUCAACCCAUCAUAAAUCUUUUCUUUUUUUCCACUGGUAUCUCUUAUGAAGCAUGAAGCAAAUGAAAAGACUUCUCUUCAUGGCUCUUCCUUUUAAUGAGAUGGCUUUGUCCUCAUACUCCACAUAAAUAAACAAGAAAGCUGGGAUGAAGUAGAUACAAUAAAUUUGGAGUCAUAAAUUAUGGGUUUGAGUGGAACUCCACCACUUCCUAGCUGUGCGACCUUGGGCAAGUCAGUUUUUCUCCUCUGAUAAAUGGGAACAAUAAUACCAGGGCUACCUUCCUCACAAGAGUAUUUUCAUACAAUCCUAAAAUGCUAGAGCUAGAAGGGACCUCAAGGGUCACCUAGCCCAACUGAUACAUCAACAAGAAGCCUCCUCUAUAACACACCCAUAAGUGGUCAUUCUAGCCUUUCUUGGAAGACCUCCAAUAGGGAAAGGCGGCCCACAUAAAUGUUUUGUUACGAAAUUUUUCCUGACAUCAAGUCUAGAUUUGUGCCUCUACAGCUCCCACCUAUUGCUCCUCAUUCUGCCUUCUGGGCCAAACAGAAGAAGGUGAACCAUCCUCCAUCUGCCAGCCCUUCCAAUAUUUGGCCAAAGUGAUCACGCAUCAGACUCUGCCCCAGUCUUUUCUGGCCAAACAUCCCUAAUGCCUGCAAAUAGUCCUCAUCUGGCCCUUCAGCAUCUUGUUUGCCUCCUCUGGAUGCUCUCCAAGUCCUUCCCAACUCCCAGAUGGGCACUUUAUCCAGUGUGCCACCUCGCUGCCCUGACUAUAUAGCAGGACUAUCCCCUCCCUAGUCCUGAACGCCAUGGCUGCCUCUCUUAAUACAGCUCAAAAUCACAUUCAAUUUCUUGUCUGAGUUUACAGUUUCCUAAAACACCUUGAUCUUUUUUUUUCUAAUAAGCCUGUCUACUCACACCUUCCCAUCUUACACUUGUGAUGUUGACUUUUUGAACCCAAGUGCCACUUUACAUUUGUGAGCAUCAAAUAGAAAAGUGUUAUUAAAUGUCAGCUACCUUUUGUUUAUCCCCAGUUACAGACAUCAUCCUGACUUCAUCCACCAGGCUAUGCUGCUUCUCCCUGAC